This 76-nucleotide transfer RNA is filed under the name Candidatus Zambryskibacteria bacterium CG_4_9_14_3_um_filter_42_15. RNAcentral describes it as "tRNA-Thr". It matches the Rfam family "tRNA". From Rfam's summary of the family: Transfer RNA (tRNA) molecules are approximately 80 nucleotides in length. Lineage: Bacteria; Candidatus Zambryskiibacteriota. The record is from RNAcentral. RNAcentral also lists the same sequence under 1 other name.
GCCACCUUAGCUCAGUUGGUAGAGCAAUACUUUUGUAAAGUAAAGGUCCCCGGUUCAAGCCCGGGAGGUGGCUCCA